GCACGUGUGACGCAGUGGUUAGCGUGUUGCUCUUAUACUUGCUAUACGAAGUGUAGCUCGUUAUGAUAAGGUAUGCAAAAGUCGUGAGUUCGACCCUCACCUCGUGCA
Molecule: transfer RNA, 108 nt
Rfam family: tRNA
About the family: Transfer RNA (tRNA) molecules are approximately 80 nucleotides in length. Their secondary structure includes four short double-helical elements and three loops (D, anti-codon, and T loops). Further hydrogen bonds mediate the characteristic L-shaped molecular structure. tRNAs have two regions of fundamental functional importance: the anti-codon, which is responsible for specific mRNA codon recognition, and the 3' end, to which the tRNAs corresponding amino acid is attached (by aminoacyl-tRNA synthetases). tRNAs cope with the degeneracy of the genetic code in two manners: having more than one tRNA (with a specific anti-codon) for a particular amino acid; and 'wobble' base-pairing, i.e. permitting non-standard base-pairing at the 3rd anti-codon position.
Source: Rfam